GAUGAACGCUGGCGGCGUGCUUAACACAUGCAAGUCGAACGGAAAGGCCAGUGCUUGCACUGGUACUCGAGUGGCGAACGGGUGAGUAACACGUGUGUGAUCUGCCCUGCACUUCGGGAUAAGCCUGGGAAACUGGGUCUAAUACCGGAUAGGACAAUGGUUUGGAUGCCGUUGUGGAAAGUUUUUUCGGUGUGGGAUGAGCUCGCGGCCUAUCAGCUUGUUGGUGGGGUAAUGGCCUACCAAGGCGUCGACGGGUAGCCGGCCUGAGAGGGUGUACGGCCACAUUGGGACUGAGAUACGGCCCAGACUCCUACGGGAGGCAGCAGUGGGGAAUAUUGCACAAUGGGCGCAAGCCUGAUGCAGCGACGCCGCGUGGGGGAUGACGGCCUUCGGGUUGUAAACUCCUUUCGCUAGGGACGAAGCGUAUUUGUGACGGUACCUGGAGAAGAAGCACCGGCUAACUACGUG
Molecule: ribosomal RNA, 468 nt
Filed under: uncultured bacterium
Lineage: Bacteria
Description: partial 16S ribosomal RNA
Rfam family: Bacterial small subunit ribosomal RNA
Source: RNAcentral